RNAcentral lists this ribosomal RNA (1177 nucleotides) under Bacillus subtilis. RNAcentral describes it as "bacterial SSU rRNA". It matches the Rfam family "Bacterial small subunit ribosomal RNA", at positions 322 to 1477 of the family's 1533-position model. Lineage: Bacteria; Bacillati; Bacillota; Bacilli; Caryophanales; Bacillaceae. The record is from RNAcentral.
ACCCAGGCACACAGCUUCUACGGGAGGCGCAGCUAACGAAUUCUUCCGCAUGGAAGAAGUACGUAUCGAGAGCAACGGCCCGUAAUGAGUAAAGUUAUCGUUUUCGUAAAGCUUCACGUUGAUAGGGAACGAACCAAGUACCGCUUCGAAUAGGCGUUACCUCGACCGAUCCCUAUCAGGAAAAGCCACGGCGUAGCUAGCGGUCAAGCAGCCGCCGUAAUACGGUAAGUUGCAAGCAGUUAUCGCGUAACUAUUGGGCGUGAGGGCUCGCAGGCAGUUGUAUUAAGAUGUGAUGUGAAAGCGCCCCGGCUCGAACGGGGAGGUCAUUGGAAACUGGGGAAACUUGGGUUCAGAAGAGGAGAGUGGAAUUCCACGUGUAGCGGUGAAAUGCGUAGAGAUGUGGAGGAACACCAGUGGCGAAGACGACUCUCUGGUCUGUAACUGACGCUGAGGAGCGAAAGCGUGGGGAGCGAACAGGAUUAGAUACCCUGGUAGUCCACGCCGUAAACGAUGAGUGCUAAGUGUUAGGGGGUUUCCGCCCCUUAGUGCUGCAGCUAACGCAUUAAGCACUCCGCCUGGGGAGUACGGUCGCAAGACUGAAACUCAAAGGAAUUGACGGGGGCCCGCACAAGCGGUGGAGCAUGUGGUUUAAUUCGAAGCAACGCGAAGAACCUUACCAGGUCUUGACAUCCUCUGACAAUCCUAGAGAUAGGACGUCCCCUUCGGGGGCAGAGUGACAGGUGGUGCAUGGUUGUCGUCAGCUCGUGUCGUGAGAUGUUGGGUUAAGUCCCGCAACGAGCGCAACCCUUGAUCUUAGUUGCCAGCAUUCAGUUGGGCACUCUAAGGUGACUGCCGGUGACAAACCGGAGGAAGGUGGGGAUGACGUCAAAUCAUCAUGCCCCUUAUGACCUGGGCUACACACGUGCUACAAUGGACAGAACAAAGGGCAGCGAAACCGCGAGGUUAAGCCAAUCCCACAAAUCUGUUCUCAGUUCGGAUCGCAGUCUGCAACUCGACUGCGUGAAGCUGGAAUCGCUAGUAAUCGCGGAUCAGCAUGCCGCGGUGAAUACGUUCCCGGGCCUUGUACACACCGCCCGUCACACCACGAGAGUUUGUAACACCCGAAGUCGGUGAGGUAACCUUUUAGGAGCCAGCCGCCGAAGGUGACCGGAGGUUG